Long non-coding RNA from Nicotiana attenuata, 470 nucleotides. RefSeq lists it as uncharacterized. The record is from RefSeq and is a predicted model, not a curated record. NCBI's taxonomy places the organism in Eukaryota, Viridiplantae, Streptophyta, Magnoliopsida, Solanales, Solanaceae. The transcript is spliced from 3 exons.
CACACACCCCUAUUUGAAAAUGAAGAUGAAAAGUCACCAAAGUUUGAAGGUAAACAAAUGAAAGCAGAAUCUGAAUUUCUAAAGGAACAUUGACGAAAAUCGAUUUCAAGACCCGACUUCUUCUUUCUCUGGUUUGUGCAAGCUGUGGAAGUAGAGUUCAUGGUUUUUGUGUGCUGAUUUUCAUUGUUGUGUUGCUGGUCUGCUGAGUUCUUCUUCGUUUUUUGAGGUCUGAAUUGCUAAUUGUUGCUGAAGCAUUUCGCUCUAUUUUGUUUUUCAGUCGAGCCGUUCUCGCUCUUGCUUCAAACAGGUGCGUUACAAAAGGUUCUUUUGCAUGUGAGGUAGAAUAAAUUGAAGUGGGAAUGGAGUGUGUGGUUCAGGGGAUUAUUGAGACUCAAGUAAGUACACUGAGCGAUGACAAAAUCUCUCGCUGUCUCUUUUCUUUACUCUAAUAGUUAGGAAGCAUGUUGAGG